This 484-nucleotide ribosomal RNA is filed under the name uncultured bacterium. Its description in RNAcentral is "partial 16S ribosomal RNA". It matches the Rfam family "Bacterial small subunit ribosomal RNA", at positions 29 to 507 of the family's 1533-position model. The record is from RNAcentral.
AUUGAACGCUGGCGGCAUGCUUUACACAUGCAAGUCGAACGGCAGCGCGGGCUUCGGCCUGGCGGCGAGUGGCGAACGGGUGAGUGAUACAUCGGAACGUGCCCAGUAUUGGGGGAUAGCUCGGCGAAAGCCGGCUUAAUACCGCAUACGACCUGAGUGUGAAAGCGGUGGAUCUUCGGACCUCGCCCUUUUUGCGCGCCCGAUGGGAGGUUAGCUAGUUGGUGGGGUAAAUGCCUACCAAGGCGGCGAUCGGUAGCUGGUCUGAGAGGACGACCGGCCACAAUGGGAAGUGAACACGGCCAAGGCUCCUAAGGGAGGGAGCAGUGGGGAAUUUUGGACAAUGGGGGGAAGCCUGGUCCAGCAAGGGCGAGUGUGUGAUGGAGGCGUUCGGGUUGGAAAGAACUUUUGGCGGGAAAGAAAAGGAUUGGGCAAAGACCACGCUUAGAUGACGGUAACCGAAGAAUAAGCACCGGCUAACUACGUG